AUUGAACGCUGGCGGCAGGCUUAACACAUGCAAGUCGAGCGGGGGAAGGUAGCUUGCUACCGGACCUAGCGGCGGACGGGUGAGUAAUGCUUAGGAAUCUGCCUAUUAGUGGGGGACAACAUCUCGAAAGGGAUGCUAAUACCGCAUACGUCCUACGGGAGAAAGCAGGGGAUCUUCGGACCUUGCGCUAAUAGAUGAGCCUAAGUCAGAUUAGCUAGUUGGUGGGGUAAAGGCCUACCAAGGCGACGAUCUGUAGCGGGUCUGAGAGGAUGAUCCGCCACAAUGGGACUGAGACACGGCCCAGACUCCUACGGGAGGCAGCAGUGGGGAAUAUUGGACAAUGGGGGGAACCCUGAUCCAGCCAUGCCGCGUGUGUGAAGAAGGCCUUAUGGUUGUAAAGCACUUUAAGCGAGGAGGAGGCUACUUUAGUUAAUACCUAGAGAUAGUGGACGUUACUCGCAGAAUAAGCACCGGCUAACUCUGUGCCAGCCGCCGCGGUAA
This 501-nucleotide ribosomal RNA is filed under the name uncultured bacterium. Its description in RNAcentral is "partial 16S ribosomal RNA". It matches the Rfam family "Bacterial small subunit ribosomal RNA", at positions 30 to 523 of the family's 1533-position model. The record is from RNAcentral.